AUAUGCGUUCACAAGCACUAGCGUAGUGAUACGCCACAAUAUAGUGCGAGGCGUAAACCGGUGAUCACAUGGGCUGGAAAGCAUUCCAUGUAUAGCCAUCUUUGAAUGCUAAUAAAGAGCUUGACACCGCUCCAUGGAAAUGCCUGUCUUUGGCUUAUAAUAGCUAUACCAAUACUAUUACAACACUGUUACAUAUGAUUGUCA
Molecule: long non-coding RNA, 204 nt
Organism: Priapulus caudatus
Lineage: Eukaryota; Metazoa; Priapulida; Priapulimorpha; Priapulimorphida; Priapulidae
Exons: 3
Source: RefSeq, a predicted model, not a curated record